CAGCCCCUUCCUUAACAUCAAACGAAGCCGUCUCUCUCUCUCUUCCCUUACCGAAACGAUCCCACCUCAUUUCACUCCAAAAGAAAGAGAAGGAAGCUCCCCUCACACGGAUUGACCCACACUUCUACAAAUAAACCCUCACUCUCAUCUUUAAUCACUGACACCUCCAGAAAUACACACCUACUCACGAACACAUACAAAAAAGCUAGGAAACUUUUCUUGAAUUAAAAAGUUUUCGCUCAGAUCUGCAGUUCUUAAAACAUCAAAUUAUUUUAGUUUAUCACAUGAUUUCUGGAAUUUUGAAGGUAGAUUGAGCAUCUAAAAUGUUGUUGCUUUGUUGUCCUUCGCUGAAAAUCAAUGGUCUAAACUCUAUUCUCACAUCCCAGCUUUUAUUUGGUUGUUCGCUCUUGUAUUUCCUACUGAGAGGUGUAGAUAGGCGAGGUGAGGACCAUCCACUGUAGGCUGCCUCCAUAUAUCAGCUUUUGGUUGGUGAGCUCCACAUCUUCCUGGAGUAUUGUCGAGUCAUGUUCUAUAUAUGUUACUUUGUUUUAUGAAGAUGUCGGGGACCCUGUCUCAACUUAUAUAUUAUGAUCAUGUUUUCUUAGAGGUUUUGCAGACAGUGUCCUGUGUAUAGCUUUAGGUAUGACAUGUCAACGGCCUUGACGGCCCCUAUAUAUCUAUAUAAAUCUUUUGAAUUAGUUAUGUGA
Nicotiana tabacum (common tobacco) is the source of this 707-nucleotide long non-coding RNA. RefSeq lists it as uncharacterized. Lineage: Eukaryota; Viridiplantae; Streptophyta; Magnoliopsida; Solanales; Solanaceae. The record is from RefSeq and is a predicted model, not a curated record.